RNAcentral lists this ribosomal RNA (339 nucleotides) under Prionospio sp. P TMG-2019. Its description in RNAcentral is "partial large subunit ribosomal RNA". It matches the Rfam family "Bacterial large subunit ribosomal RNA", at positions 1968 to 2526 of the family's 2925-position model. Lineage: Eukaryota; Metazoa; Annelida; Polychaeta; Spionida; Spionidae. The record is from RNAcentral.
CUUGCCUUUUAAUUGGAGGCUGGUAUGAACGGACACACGAGAGCACACCUAUCUUAUUAAUGGAAAAAAAAUUAUCUCUUAGGUGAAGAGACCUAAAUCCCAUAAAAAGACGAAAAGACCCUAUGGAGCUUUACUUAGCUAGCCAUACACAAAAUAAAAAAAAUUGCUAUCUGCUAAAAAGUUUAGUUGGGGCGACUAAGGAGCAACUCAAACCCUCCUUCAAAUAGCUGAGGGCAUAAACCAAAAAAGAUCCAUAAAAAUGAAUAUAAAUUCAGCUACCCUAGGGAUAACAGGCUAAUCCUCCUCGAGAGCUCACAUUGACAGGAGGGGUUGGCACCU